GAUGAACGCUGGCUGUGUGCCUAAUACAUGCAUGUCGAGCGAAGCACUUUUGUGCUUAGCGGCGAAUGGGUGAGUAACACGUACUUAACCUACCCUCAAGAUUGGGACAACACUUGGAAACGAGUGCUAAUACCAAAUACGUAUUUUUAUCGCAUGAUAGAUAUAUAAAAGGAGCUUCGGCUUCACUAGAGGAUGGGAGUGCGCUACAUUAGUUAGUUGGUAGGGUAAUGGCCUACCAAGACUAUGAUGUAUAGCGGGGCCGAGAGGCUGAUCCGCCACACUGGGACUGAGAUACGGCCCAGACUCCUACGGGAGGCAGCAGUAGGGAAUUUUCCACAAUGAACGAAAGUUUGAUGGAGCGACACAGCGUGCAGGAUGAAGGUCUUCGGAUUGUAAACUGCUGUUAUAAGAGAAGAAAAACCCUGGUAGGUAAUGACCAGGACUUGACGGUACCUUAUCAGAAAGCGACGGCUAACUAUGUGCCAGCAGCCGCGGUAAUACAUAGGUCGCAAGCGUUAUCCGGAAUUAUUGGGCGUAAAGAGUUCGUAGGUGGUUUUGUAAGUCUGAAGUUAAAUACCGGGGCUCAACCCCGGCCCGCUCUGGAUACUGCAAAACUAGAGUAAUAGAGAGGUUAGUGGAACUCCAAGUGAAGCGGUGGAAUGCGUAGAUAUUUGGAAGAACACCAAUGGCGAAAGCAACUAACUGGAUAUUUAACUGACACUGAGGAACGAAAGCGUGGGUAGCAAACAGG
This 751-nucleotide ribosomal RNA is filed under the name uncultured bacterium. Its description in RNAcentral is "bacterial SSU rRNA". It matches the Rfam family "Bacterial small subunit ribosomal RNA", at positions 28 to 776 of the family's 1533-position model. The record is from RNAcentral.